Molecule: ribosomal RNA, 407 nt
Filed under: uncultured bacterium
Lineage: Bacteria
Description: partial 16S ribosomal RNA
Rfam family: Bacterial small subunit ribosomal RNA
Source: RNAcentral
AUUGAACGCUGGCGGCAGGCUUAACACAUGCAAGUCGAACGGAGUGGAGGACGGGUGAGUAAUGCUUUGGAAUCUGCCUGGUAGUGGGGGAUAACGUCCGGAAACGGGCGCUAAUACCGCAUACUAUCAGAUUAGCCUAGGUCGGAUUAGCUAGUUGGUGGGGUAAAGUACGACCAAGGCGACGAUCCGUAACUGGUCUGACAGGAUUAUCAGUCACACUGGAACUGAGACACGGUCCAGACUCGUACGGGAGGCAGCAGUGGGGAAUAUUGUACCAUGGGCGAAAGCCUGAUCCAGCCAUGCCGCGUGUGUGAAGAAGGUCUUCGGAUUGUAAAGCACUUUAAGUUGGGAGGCGUUACCAACAGAAUAAGCACCGGCUAACUUCGUGCCAGCAGCCGCGGUAAUAC